AGCUUGGAGUGGCACCCUCCAUUCACGAUCUUGCUGUAUUGUAUAGCACUGGAGCCAUAGCUCAUGCGAUGGAACUGAGUCCCAUCAGCAAAUUUUGCAUCGCUUACUCCAUAUUCAGGAGAUCAUGGAUGAGGUGACAUCGAGCUUUAGGAGAUCGAUGGAAAGGAGAACAUGACCGACCCAUUUACUGAAGUCUUUCUAUCAAGGAGUUUUGAGAUUAUAAAUUGAAGAUGGGUAUAUGAUACUAUACUGAUUG
RNAcentral lists this long non-coding RNA (256 nucleotides) under Elaeis guineensis (African oil palm). Its description in RNAcentral is "long non-coding RNA (EGUI_LNC054487)". Lineage: Eukaryota; Viridiplantae; Streptophyta; Magnoliopsida; Arecales; Arecaceae. The record is from RNAcentral.